Non-coding RNA from Microcebus murinus (gray mouse lemur), 4257 nucleotides. The record is from RefSeq and is a predicted model, not a curated record. NCBI's taxonomy places the organism in Eukaryota, Metazoa, Chordata, Mammalia, Primates, Cheirogaleidae.
CGCGCCUGGAGGGGCGGUGGAAAGCGCUUAUGCGCAAGCGCAGUCGCAGGUCCUCGCCUCCUGGAGAAGUUACUGCGCAGGUUCGCGUGUAUAGAUUGUUGUCGCCUUUUGACAUUCUUGAAAUCAAGAAAUUUGCCCAUGCCAAAUUAAGGAGAAAGCUGUGAGCCAGUUGUCAUUACUUGUGCAGUUUCUCCAAGUUCCAAAGAAGGUAAUACACUGCUGGCCUGAUUGUGUUUCAGCUCCAAGACACAGCACAACGUUUGAAAAGCCCAUUGUUCCGUGUUGUGAUAAUAUAACUCUCUGUAAAUGGUGCAGUCCAGUGUACAGAGUACCGCCCCGCCCAGCCCACUGGUGACCUGUGGGGACAGCUGAAUGCCUUCUGGUCGCUGAGCCCACAAGAGCGGGGCUGGGCUUUCAGAAACAGCUGGGCUGAUUCAUGCAGAACAAAAGCCAGCUCUUCCUGCUAAAUCCCUGGCAGGCACGGCUGUGAGGCUGCUGGGCCCCUGUGCCUCUCCGAGGGAAACAUCUUGACUCAGCUCCAAAUGUCUAGAUGUCAGUCUCCUGCCUGAGCGCCUUGGGCAGCUUCCCACCGUCCAGUCCCUUUGGCCUGGCAUGCUCCCGGCCCCCACGCGGGAGGCGGUGGCUUUGGAGGGAAAUCUGGGUUCUAGUCCCAUGUAGGCCGUUUCCCAGCUAUGCAACGUAAACAAGUGACUUCUUGCUCAGCCUCAGUUGCUCCAUCUGCAAGCUGGGAGCGAGAGUAGCUCCAAUCUGAGAAAUCUGUCGUCGGGUCUGAAGGACAAACUUCAAGGCUGUCAGGCACUCGUGGAUACUGCUGUCCUGUUUUGUGUAAACCUGAUGCAUCUUGCUGUCUGGCUUGGUCUUGCACAGUUCCCUUCGUCCACGUACCCUGCACCCCAGACUCGCCGGCACAAGCUCGCUCACCUUAAACACCUCCGUGCCUUUCCCUAGUGGGUUCCCAUACGGACACCAGCCACUGUUGACAGAGCCCGUUCUAUGUCCCAGGCCUUAACAUGGAUAAUUUCACUUCAUUUCCCUGCAACUCUUUGAGUGGACACGAUUGUCAGGUGAAGAAACCAAGGCACAGAUGGGUUGAGUGACUGGGACGGAGGGAGGUCCUGUCCUCCAAGGCCAAUAAGCACAAAAAUAGCACUACCUCAAAGACUUUUUGUUCCGUCUUCCGCCAGCCUCCACACCUUCGCUUAUUCUGUGCCCUUCGCAGAAGCUGCCGUUCCCUGCCUCACCUCCAUUCCUGUUCUUCCCGUACUUUCAAGGUCGACUGAGUCCUUCUGCCUCGUGGAGUUGUCUCUCUGCCACGCGUCCCCUGCCCUUUGCCAUGGGAACUGCGCCCUCCAUAACCAGGUUACGGUGGGAGCCACGUGUUUGUGCGGUGACCCUGCCGCUCUGGCUACAGUUAACUGGAUCAAGGGUAGGAAUCUGCCCCAAGUGAGGGUGUGGACCACAAACCAAGAUUCCAGCUUGCUGUUGGUAAAUGCCAUCUUCUAGAAAGGAGAAGGAGAAAUGCUUGUGCGACUGAGGCAGAGGAACGAAGCAGAUGGGCAGGGAUGGAAGAUGGAGAGAGAGCACUUUCUGGGUCCCCUUUGGUACUCAGGCUGUGCUUGGGGCUCGACACUGAGGCCCCAUGGGGCAUUCCAGGGUCUCCCGAGAGCACUCCCUCAAGUCAUCCCUGGCACGGAAUCCCCAUCUUGUCCUCUGCUUCUGGGAACUUACUAUAAGGCAUUCAAUGCUCAAUAAAUACUUGUCCUAAUAACUUAUUUUUCGGAAGCUAGCUCCACAAAAGGUCUGCAGCCAAAAAGCCCCACCGAUCCUGAGGUCUUCCCUACCUGGCUGGCCCAGCCUUCUCCUCUGGGAGCUUCUCCAUGCCCAUCUGGUCAUUUAACAAGUCUCAUGGCCUUCUCUGUGGACAUGACAGAAGAUGGCCACCACAAAAUGGCGGCCUUGGGGAUUAUCAGUCCUCACAGGCCCAGUUAAUUAACCACAACUGUCAUGUCCCACGCUCCAACUCCAAACCCUGAGAGCCCAGCUUGGUCCUGGUGUCAACUGCUAAUGCUGCCGACUGCGUUGUGAAGGAGGACUCUGGCACAAGCAUGGUGCCAAGUGAGGGCCAACCUGUGGGUGGGAAGAGGCGUCCUGAGAGGGGGGAGUGGGCACCCCCAGACUGUCUACUGCACGGCCUGUGUGUGGCCUUCGUUUCUCCUCAUCCUCACUCCAUGUUCUCCCAUGGGAGGGGAUCUACGUUAGCGAGACAUGCACACUGAGACGAGGAGCCAGGGAAGAUUGGUCUUCCUGUUGCCUAGAUGCACUGGGAAGAGAAGUACAAAAAAGAGUCUGGAAAGGAACGAGGACAGGACACUAAGGCAAAGGGAACUUCUAGGCACCCACGCAAGGCAGACCUGACCCUGAAAGGGCAGGCCAAGACAGAUCCUGACCAGCUGCAGAACACACAUGUUGAUGCAUGAAGCAAAGCACUAGGAACUUGCCUGGCCCUCUGAUAAAGUACUGGUCAUCUUCACUAUUAUUUUUACCAUUUCUGGUGAUAGCUGUGCCUAUGUGACUUUGCAGCCACCAGAUGGAACAAUCACAGGAUCAUGGGUGCAAGCCCCUUUACUCUCUUGGCCUCAGUUUCCCCAUCUCUAAAUUAAAGGGUUGGAGCAGAUGUUCUCCAGUGUUUUCUCUGGUUCUGUGGAGACACAGAUUCAGAGGUCCACCUCCCUUUGUCUGAGAGAAGUUGCUGGCGUUGGAAAUGACAUGUUAGAUAAUUCCAGGGCCUGUGUAGGCUGAGGCUUGUAAUCAAAGAGCUUGGAGCCAAACAGCCUGUGUUUCUGCCUUGUUCCCCACCGCCCUACAGCGGGCCACGGACAGCCUCUGGAAAAAGCAGAGAGUGGCGGAGAGAAGGUGCGAGCCUCCCUGGGGGCAGGGGUGGAGGGGUGAACACCUUGCUUCAGUUCUCUGAGAAAGUGGAACUGGACAGAGUUUCCCAAGCCAGGAAGGGCGGCAGAGUGUGACUCAGGACAUUGAGCAAAGGAGCGGAGGCCGAGGACUCAGGCAUAGAGGACCAGGCUGUACGGUAUCACCUGUGUGACCUCCAGAGACCUACUUAACCCUUUCUGUGGCUUGGCCAUCUCAUCUGAAAAAUGCACGUGGUGAUACCUACCUUGGGAGGUGGGCUAGGGAGGUGAGAGUGGUCUUCCCAACACGUGGGAAGACCAGAACAUGGUAUGUGACAUUCAAGAAAUGGUUCCUGCGAUCACUGGUGCUGUACAGAGACCGAGAGGGGCAGGAGGAAGAGCCAGGCUGCGAUUCCCUAGGCCCUGUGGCUUCCCUGGCUGCUGCUCAAUGGGAAAACCAGGAAGCGAGUGCCAUGCUCUUGGCUUCUCUGCUGCUUAAACAGUGCCAGCUGUUCCUGCUCUCACCCCCAGCACCCAGCAGUUAUUGACUCUGGCCUACUUUACCUAGUUUGGGAGGGGGCUUUACCCUGGCAGGACGCUGGCCAGCCUCCAGCACCUAGGCUGGACAUGGGCAUCCUUGUUGUCUACCUGGUCCAGGCUCCUGUUGAGUGUAUGAAUCCUCCCAAACUGGAGUCAGAGCAGCUGCCAGAGGCCUGGGAACCCACGUUUGCACCAGGACUGUUGGGAGGCUGACCCAUGCCUCGUUCCAUUAUAAAUGGCUCUCUCUCAAAUGCAUCUGUUGAGAUAAAUAAAAUACGACACUUGUUUAAAAGUGACCUUGCACUCAUCUUUCUGACCAGUGUGGAUUUUCUCAAUCUUCUAAAAUAACAUCUGCCACCACACUGGUAAGAACAUCCGCGGACCCAGAGCCCACAGUCCUUGCCAUUGCGUGGAGUCUUUCUCUCACUGUCUUCCCAGCCGGCCGCGAAGAGGCAGUUCAUGAUGCCCAUUUUACAAAUGAGGAAACUGAGACAGAUAUGUUAAGUCACUUGACCGAAGUUAUGGGAGGAACAAGUGUCAGGGAAUCCAACCAGGGCCUUCUGACUCCGAAGCCCCACUUAAGGACAGGGAUGGACUUUGGCGCUUCUUGUUUCUCCCGAAUGAAGUUGGGAAUCGUUCUUCCCUUUGUUCCCUCCAGAGGCUGCUUGCCAUCUCGCCCGCUUUGCGGGCUUUGCCUCCUGAAGCCCUUCCUCGCCUGGUCCUAGUGGAGCAUUGCACGCUGCCCGCGUCACCUGCGCUCUUUGGCCGCAGCGCAGCCCGGGAGCUCCCC